CAGUCGCCGCGGUAAAACGUAGGGUGCAAGCGUUAAUCGGAAUUACUGGGCGUAAAGCGUGCGCAGGCGGUUAUAUAAGACAGAUGUGAAAUCCCCGGGCUCAACCUGGGAACUGCAUUUGUGACUGUAUAGCUAGAGUACGGCAGAGGGGGAUGGAAUUCCGCGUGUAGCAGUGAAAUGCGUAGAUAUGCGGAGGAACACCGAUGGCGAAGGCAAUCCCCUGGGCCUGUACUGACGCUCAUGCACGAAAGCGUGGGGAGCAAACAGGAUUAGAUACCCGCGUAGUCCCUGUCUCUUAUAC
RNAcentral lists this ribosomal RNA (301 nucleotides) under uncultured bacterium. RNAcentral describes it as "partial 16S ribosomal RNA". It matches the Rfam family "Bacterial small subunit ribosomal RNA", at positions 509 to 807 of the family's 1533-position model. The record is from RNAcentral.